GUUGAAGAACGUAGCGAAAUGCGAUACUUGGUGUGAAUUGCAGAAUCCCGUGAACCAUCGAGUCUUUGAACGCAAGUUGCGCCCGAAGCCAUUAGGCCGAGGGCACGCCUGCCUGGGUGUCACACGUCGUUGCCCCCCCAUCUACUCCUUCGGGAUUGCGGGGGGCGGAUGAUGGCCUCCCGUGCGCCUCGUCGCGCGGUUGGCAUAAAUGCCAAGUCCUCGGCGACGCACGCCACGACAAUCGGUGGUUGCGAAACCUCGGUUGCCCGUCGUGUGCGGUCGUCGCGCAUCGAGGGCUCGAAAAAAUUGCCGGGCUCCGGCUCGGCUUUCAACGCGACCCCAGGUCAGGCGGGGUUACCCGCUGAAUUUAAGCAUAUCAAUAAGCGGAGGA
This 391-nucleotide unclassified non-coding RNA is filed under the name soil metagenome. RNAcentral describes it as "partial contains 5.8S ribosomal RNA, internal transcribed spacer 2, and large subunit ribosomal RNA". The stretch from base 1 to 122 matches the Rfam family "5.8S ribosomal RNA", at positions 35 to 154 of the family's 154-position model. The record is from RNAcentral.